CUGCAUGGUGGGUGUGGGAAAGAUAUUGUUUCGGUGGGGGAUGGGCUCGCGGCCUAUCAGCUUGUUGGUGGGGUAAUGGCCUACCAAGGCGUCGACGGGUAGCCGGCCUGAGAGGGCGACCGGCCACACUGGGACUGAGACACGGCCCAGACUCCUACGGGAGGCAGCAGUAGGGAAUCUUAGACAAUGGGGGCAACCCUGAUCUAGCCAUGCCGCGUGUGUGAUGAAGGCCCUAGGGUCGUAAAGCACUUUCGCCAGAGAUGAUAAUGACAGUAUCUGGUAAAGAAACCCCGGCUAACUCCGUGCCAGCAGCCGCGGUAAUACG
This 325-nucleotide ribosomal RNA is filed under the name Ctenophora environmental sample. RNAcentral describes it as "partial Bacterial small subunit ribosomal RNA". It matches the Rfam family "Bacterial small subunit ribosomal RNA", at positions 186 to 527 of the family's 1533-position model. The record is from RNAcentral. Lineage: Eukaryota; Metazoa; Ctenophora.